This 250-nucleotide ribosomal RNA is filed under the name uncultured bacterium. RNAcentral describes it as "partial 16S ribosomal RNA". It matches the Rfam family "Bacterial small subunit ribosomal RNA", at positions 15 to 260 of the family's 1533-position model. The record is from RNAcentral.
GAUCCUGGCUCAGAUUGAACGCUGGCGGCAGGCUUAACACAUGCAAGUCGAACGGUAGCAGGUAAGUACUUGUACUUAUGCUGACGAGUGGCGGACGGGUGAGUAAUGCUUGGGGAUCUGGCUUAUGGAGGGGGAUAACGACGGGGAAACUGUCGCUAAUACCGCGUAGAAUCGAGAGAUGAAAGUGUGGGACCUUCGGGCCACAUGCCAUAGGAUGAACCCAAGUGGGAUUAGGUAGUUGGUAGGGUAA